CUACGGGAUGCUGCAGUGGGGAAUAUUGCACAAUGGGGGAAACCCUGAUGCAGCAACGCCGCGUGGAGGAUGACGCAUUUCGGUGUGUAAACUCCUUUUAUAUAGGAAGAUAAUGACGGUACUAUAUGAAUAAGCACCGGCUAACUCCGUGCCAGCAGCCGCGGUAAUACGGAGGGUGCAAGCGUUACUCGGAAUCACUGGGCGUAAAGCGCGCGCAGGCGGCCUUUUAAGUUGGAUGUGAAAGCCUAUGGCUUAACCAUAGAACUGCAUCCAAAACUAUCAGGCUAGAGUCUGGGAGGGGAAGAUGGAAUUAGUUGUGUAGGGGUAAUAUCCGUAGAGAUAACUAGGAAUACCAAAAGCGAAGGCGAUCUUCUGGAACAGUACUGACGCUGAGGCGCGAAAGCGUGGGGAGCAAACAGGAUUAGAUACCCGCGUAGUC
Molecule: ribosomal RNA, 439 nt
Filed under: uncultured bacterium
Lineage: Bacteria
Description: partial 16S ribosomal RNA
Rfam family: Bacterial small subunit ribosomal RNA
Source: RNAcentral